GGGACGGAGAAGGCUAUGUUGGCCGGGCGACGGUUGUCCCGGUUUAAGCGUGUAGGUGUGUGUUCCAGGUAAAUCCGGUUCACUUUAACACUGAGGCGUGAUGACGAGGCACUACGGUGCUGAAGUAACAAAUGCCCUGCUUCCAGGAAAAGCCUCUAAGCAUCAGGUAACAUCAAAUCGUACCCCAAACCGACACAGGUGGUCAGGUAGAGAAUACCAAGGCGCUUGAGAGAACUCGGGUGAAGGAACUAGGCAAAAUGGUGCCGUAACUUCGGGAGAAGGCACGCUGACACGUAGGUGAAGUGAUUUACUCACGGAGCUGAAGUCAGUCGAAGAUACCAGCUGGCUGCAACUGUUUAUUAAAAACACAGCACUGUGCAAACACGAAAGUGGACGUAUACGGUGUGACGCCUGCCCGGUGCCGGAAGGUUAAUUGAUGGGGUCAGCGCAAGCGAAGCUCCUGAUCGAAGCCCCGGUAAACGGCGGCCGUAACUAUAACGGUCCUAAGGUAGCGAAAUUCCUUGUCGGGUAAGUUCCGACCUGCACGAAUGGCGUAAUGAUGGCCAGGCUGUCUCCACCCGAGACUCAGUGAAAUUGAACUCGCUGUGAAGAUGCAGUGUACCCGCGGCAAGACGGAAAGACCCCGUGAACCUUUACUAUAGCUUGACACUGAACAUUGAGCCUUGAUGUGUAGGAUAGGUGGGAGGCUUUGAAGUGUGGACGCCAGUCUGCAUGGAGCCGACCUUGAAAUACCACCCUUUAAUGUUUGAUGUUCUAACGUGGACCCGUUACCCGGGUUGCGGACAGUGUCUGGUGGGUAGUUUGACUGGGGCGGUCUCCUCCUAAAGAGUAACGGAGGAGCACGAAGGUUGGCUAAUCCUGGUCGGACAUCAGGAGGUUAGUGCAAUGGCAUAAGCCAGCUUGACUGCGAGCGUGACGGCGCGAGCAGGUGCGAAAGCAGGUCAUAGUGAUCCGGUGGUUCUGAAUGGAAGGGCCAUCGCUCAACGGAUAAAAGGUACUCCGGGGAUAACAGGCUGAUACCGCCCAAGAGUUCAUAUCGACGGCGGUGUUUGGCACCUCGAUGUCGGCUCAUCACAUCCUGGGGCUGAAGUAGGUCCCAAGGGUAUGGCUGUUCGCCAUUUAAAGUGGUACGCGAGCUGGGUUUAGAACGUCGUGAGACAGUUCGGUCCCUAUCUGCCGUGGGCGCUGGAGAACUGAGGGGGGCUGCUCCUAGUACGAGAGGACCGGAGUGGACGCAUCACUGGUGUUCGGGUUGUCAUGCCAAUGGCACUGCCCGGUAGCUAAAUGCGGAAGAGAUAAGUGCUGAAAGCAUCUAAGCACGAAACUUGCCCCGAGAUGAGUUCUCCCUGAGACUUUAGGUCUCCUGAAGGAACGUUGAAGACGACGACGUUGAUAGGCCGGGUGUGUAAGCGCAGCGAUGCGUUGAGCUAACCGGUACUAAUGAACCGUGAGGCUUAACCUUACAACGCCG
This 1492-nucleotide ribosomal RNA is filed under the name Salmonella enterica. RNAcentral describes it as "partial 23S ribosomal RNA". It matches the Rfam family "Bacterial large subunit ribosomal RNA", at positions 1469 to 2925 of the family's 2925-position model. Lineage: Bacteria; Pseudomonadati; Pseudomonadota; Gammaproteobacteria; Enterobacterales; Enterobacteriaceae. The record is from RNAcentral.